Molecule: ribosomal RNA, 528 nt
Filed under: uncultured bacterium
Lineage: Bacteria
Description: bacterial SSU rRNA
Rfam family: Bacterial small subunit ribosomal RNA
Source: RNAcentral
ACAGUGUGACGUAGUUUGACUCCGUGGCUACGAGAACGACGCUGGCGGCGUGCCUUACACAUGCAAGUCGAACGAGAAAGCCCUUCGGGGCAAGUACAGUGGCGGACGGGUGAGUAACGCGUGGGUAAUCUACCCCUGGGCGGGGGAUAACACUUCGAAAGAGGUGCUAAUACCGCAUAAGACCACGACCCUUCGGGGGCGUGGGAAAAGGUGGGGAUCUUCGGACCUGUCACCUAGGGAUGAGCCCGCGUACCAUUAGGUUGUUGGUGGGGUAAAGGCCUACCAAGCCAUAGAUGGUUAGCUGGUCUGAGAGGAUGAUCAGCCACACUGGGACUGAGACACGGCCCAGACUCCUACGGGAGGCAGCAGUGGGGAAUAUUGCGCAAUGGGGGCAACCCUGACGCAGCAACGCCGCGUGUGUGAAGAAGGCCCUCGGGUCGUAAAGCACUGUCGAAUAGAACGAGCCGGAUGCGGUUAAUACCCGUGUCCCCGACGGUACUAUUUGAGGAAGCACCGGCUAACUCCGUG